ACACCGUUGGUGAAGUGGUUAUCAUGCUUGCCUUCCAUAUCGAUUGUACGUGCAAGCGGUAGCAAGCGGCUCGGGUUCGAUUCCCGAACGGUGUA
Non-coding RNA from Marasmius tenuissimus, 95 nucleotides. Lineage: Eukaryota; Fungi; Basidiomycota; Agaricomycetes; Agaricales; Marasmiaceae. The record is from the annotation of a GenBank genome assembly.